Molecule: long non-coding RNA, 1021 nt
Filed under: Callithrix jacchus (white-tufted-ear marmoset)
Lineage: Eukaryota; Metazoa; Chordata; Mammalia; Primates; Cebidae
Description: lncRNA (ENSCJAG00000076882.1)
Source: RNAcentral
AUGAGGUCUCCCAGCUGUGUGAGGUCUCAGGAGAUAGUUCUUUUGAGAGCUGAGCUUUUCUGGCUUAGCAGUAGCUCAGAAAACUUUUCUUUCUCUUUCCAGUGUUCUGUGCCCCAGCUGUGUAUAAAAACUGCUCCGCCUUUUUCCAUGCAGGGGUUAACCAGGGCAUCUCCUGCCCCUUCUGCAAGGCUUUGGGUAGAAGAGAUCCAUAAAUCUGACAGCAGCUAUGGGGAGAUUCAAGGAAGAGCAGUCUCCCGCAGAGCAGCAUGCAUUACCAUCAUCUUCGGAAGAGCACAGCAUUCUAUAGGAAGCUAAUAGGCAUUACUAUAAAACAGGGUGCCAUCGUCAAAAAAGUUCAGAAAACACUGAAUUAAACAAGCUAAAUACUUAAAAACAAAACAAAACAAAACCCUGUCUGAUUUCUCAGAGGCUGAAUGUGAACUGUGUUGACAUUGUUCACCAUUCCAUUCUACCUCAUUGAAAAAGAGAACUUACUAAAUAAGUCUCUGUUGAGUGAAUGAAAGAAACUCCUGCAUGAUCUUUCUUCUUCUUCUUUAUUUUUCCCAGAGAUGGAGUUUCGCUCUUGUUACCCAAGCUGGAGUGCGAUGGCGCGAUCUCGACUCACCGCAACCUCCUCCUCCUGGGUUUAAGCAAUUCUCCUGCCUCAGCCUCUGGAGUAGCUGGGAUUACAGGCACACGCCACCAUGCCCAGCUAAUUUUUGCAUUUUUAGUAGAGAUGGGGUUUCACCAUGUUGACCAGGAUGGUCUCGAUCUCUUGACCUCGUGAUCCACCCACCUUGGCCUCCCGAAGUGCUGGGAUUAUAGGCGUGAGCCACCGCGCCUGGCCCCUGGAUGAUCUUUCUAUGUGACUUUGGGCAAGUUACUUCACCUCUCUGUUGAUACUAAAUAAGGAUAAAGGAUCUACUUUACACGGUUGUUAUGAGGAACAAAUGAGUUAAUGUACAAAAAGUGCUUAAAACAGUGCCUGGCAUAUAUUGAGCAUGAUGUGUUUCCUAUCCAU